Molecule: ribosomal RNA, 347 nt
Filed under: uncultured bacterium
Lineage: Bacteria
Description: bacterial SSU rRNA
Rfam family: Bacterial small subunit ribosomal RNA
Source: RNAcentral
GGAUUAACUACCCCGUAACAUAUAGAUGUGGCAUCACAAUUAUAUUAUAGGUUUACCGCUUAAAGAUGGGUGUGCGGCUGAUUAGAUAGUUGGCGGGUAAUGGCCCACAAGUCUACGAUCAGUAGCUGAUGUGAGAGCAUGAUCAGCCACACGGGCACUGAGACACGGGCCCGACUCCUACGGGGAGGCAGCAGUAAGGAAUAUUGGACAAUGGACGCAAGUCUGAUCCAGCCAUGCCGCGUGAAGGAUUAAGGUCCUCUGGAUUGUAAACUUCUUUAUAUGGGACGAAAAAGGGCAUUCUUGCUCACUUGACGGUACCAUAUGAAUAAGCACCGGCUAACUCCGUG